RNAcentral lists this transfer RNA (77 nucleotides) under uncultured bacterium. RNAcentral describes it as "tRNA-His". It matches the Rfam family "tRNA". From Rfam's summary of the family: Transfer RNA (tRNA) molecules are approximately 80 nucleotides in length. The record is from RNAcentral.
GCCCGGUUAGUGUUAGUGGCAGCACGUCUGAAUGUGGAUCAGAAAGGGCAGAGGUUCGACUCCUCCACCGGGUGCCA